CUAUACUCAAGAGUGACGGGCGAUAUGUACUUUUGCUAUAGCCUUUUCAAUAAAAAAUUUUAUUUUUAAUUUACUUUCACAUCCAGAUUCAAUAAUAAUUUAAAAAUAAAUCUUAUAAAAGUAACUCAUUUAAACCUAAUUUAUACUCUACACAUUGACCUGAAAUCAAAAUAACUAUGAUAUAAAAAAAUCUAAAUCAAAAUAAUAACAGCCGUACAUAAAAUUAAAAAUAGAGAAAAUAAAAGCGGGUUAUCUAUCAUAAUAAACAAAUUCCUGUGAAAGGUUAACAAACCGCCAAAGAUAUUAAG
RNAcentral lists this ribosomal RNA (308 nucleotides) under Laminalloptes simplex. Its description in RNAcentral is "partial 12S ribosomal RNA". Lineage: Eukaryota; Metazoa; Arthropoda; Arachnida; Sarcoptiformes; Alloptidae. The record is from RNAcentral.